Syngnathoides biaculeatus (alligator pipefish) is the source of this 73-nucleotide non-coding RNA. Lineage: Eukaryota; Metazoa; Chordata; Actinopteri; Syngnathiformes; Syngnathidae. The record is from the annotation of a RefSeq genome assembly.
CAAGGCAUAGCUAAGCAAGUCAAAGCAUCUCCCUUACACUGAGAAGACGUCUAUGCAAAUUGGACUACCUUGA